Molecule: long non-coding RNA, 587 nt
Organism: Leptopilina heterotoma
Lineage: Eukaryota; Metazoa; Arthropoda; Insecta; Hymenoptera; Figitidae
Exons: 2
Source: RefSeq, a predicted model, not a curated record
GAUAAAUAAAGUGAACGAACAAUUGUUUAGUUUCUGGACAAAAGAACAAAUAUAUUUGUUCUCGUCAUAUUGUUGAUUCAGUUGCUUCGGGAGAAUCAAUUUUCUCACUCGAUUCUAGUAUAAAAAUCAUACCCAUGGUACUUGGAAUUCACUUCUUCUAACUGCGAUCUAGUAUUCACUUGAUUCAAAGAAAAUCAAAAAUGAUGAGCUGCAAAAUUUUUGGACUCUUCGUGUUCAUUGCAACAAUUUUGAUAAUGGCACCAACAACCUUGGCCCAGUGUAUUGCCAAUAGAAACGGUUGUCAACCUGACGGAAGUCAAGGAAGAUGUUGCUCUGGUAAUUGCUACAAGGAAGCAGGAUGGGUCGCUGGAUACUGCAGAUAAUUCGAAUGCGACUUUCCAAAAAAUCCUUCUUCAAAAAUGUAUUUUUCCAAAUUAUAACAUUCGUUUUUAGUCUCGUGUGGUAUUUUUUAAACGUACCAUUCUUUUGUCUAAAUUUGAAUUCCAAAUUGUAUUUUCAAUAAUUUAAAAAUGUAAUCAAGUGUUCGCCAAGAAUAAAUUGUUGUUUCAAUUGAUUUAAAAUGAAAA